CAGAGUUGCAAAACUCCCAACCAUUGUGAACCUACCUCACCGUUGCUUCGGCGGGUGGCCCGCUAAUUCCAGGCCGCGCCGGCCCCUUUCUAGGGGGCCCGGCAACCCGUCAGAGGCCCGAAACUCUUCGUCAUCAGUGGCCUCUCUGAGUAACUUAUACAAUAAGUCA
Molecule: unclassified non-coding RNA, 169 nt
Filed under: uncultured Podospora
Lineage: Eukaryota; Fungi; Ascomycota; Sordariomycetes; Sordariales; Lasiosphaeriaceae
Description: sequence contains ITS1
Source: RNAcentral